UCUAGACGAAAGCAUAGGAAGAAGAUGGAUUAAGGUGGCUUAAUGAUGGAUUAAAAGAUGGUGAUGGUGUUUCCGGCGUUACUAAGGCAAACACGAGGGAGAAGGAUUAAGGAUGGAUUAACAAAUGAGAUUAGGAUGAUUGAAGAGGUAAUGACUUUGCUUAGGAUUUAAUGACUUUGAUUAGUGUUGUUAAUGGUGAUUAUAGUUUAUUUAGUGAUUAAUUAUGGAUUGAUGAUGGUUUAAUUGGUGAUUAAUGUUGAUUAGUUGACGAUAUGAAUAGGUAGACUAAUGAAUAGAUUAUAUUACUAUUCAAUAAUGAUUUUUGGUGGUUAUGAUUGAUAAUUGAAUUAAUAGUGGAUUAAUGAAGAUUAUUAGUAGUGAUGUGAUUAUUGGCUAUUAAUUAAUUAAUGAUGAUUAAAGCAAAUGGUGGGUUGAUUAUGGAAUAUUAAUCAAUGAUGAUGGCUAGUGAUUAAUAGUUGAUAAAGUUAAGAUUAAAUGUUUUUUUUUUUGAAGAAUUAAGAUUAAAUGUUGAUUAUUGGAUAAUAAUGAUUAAAUUAUGGGAGUUGAUUAAUGGUGAUUAUGGACUAGGAUUAUGGAUGAUGAAUGUCAUUAAUAUUGAUUAAUAAUGAUGAUGUGAUUAUGGUUCUUGAUUAAGAAAUGAUUGUGGAUUAAUAAUAUGGAUUGAUUAUGGAUAAUUAUGUUGAUUAAUUAAUGUUGGUGAAGUUUAAUAAUGAGGUGUUUGAAUAAAGAUGAUAUUAUUAGUGGUUAUGUUGUUGAUAAUGCUUAUGAGCUAUUAAGGGGUUAAAGAGGGUGAUUAGCAUGCUAAUGGAAGUUAAUGAUUAAGAUAGUGAUUAGUAUUAAAUGGGUUUAUUGGAUGAUGAUGGGCUAUUGAUAAAGUAAUCUUGGUUUAAGGGUGUUUAAUACUAAGACUAUGGUUGGUGAUGCAUCAUGGUUGAGGAUUAAGAUUGAUGUUGAUUAGUGAGUUGGCAAUGAGGAAAUAAUUGGAUGAAUGAGGUGGAUGGUGAAGAAGGGUUUGUUGUAAGAAAGGAGAUGCCAUUGUGAUAACUAUGAUGUUGUUGAGUUAGUGAGAAUGAUAAUGAUGUUAUAUGGGAUUGAUGAUGGAAUAAAGAUUGGUUGGCUCGCAGGUUCCUCGUUGAAGUGUUUAGCUUAAAAGUUGAGCCUUGGAUUGGACGUUUGGCUUUUGGAGCUUAGCAUGAGGACUUGGACUUGUGGCUAGUGAGAGCGUGGCGUAGAACUUGUACCCGAGCUUUGGUUAUGGUAUAACCUGUAUAGUUAGAAGUGAAUUGAUGUUGUAGUUAGAUAUGGUUUAGAAUGAAGGAUUGGUUGUACUUAAAUUUGUAGAUAGAAAUCCUUGUAGCCUGUGCGUUUGGGUUUAGAUUCUAGCCCAAGCGUGGCAUAGCACCCCAUAGUUUAAGUUUUAGUUUCGCUUCCGCAUUUAUUUUCCGAAUGGUUAGCAAGAAUUAUUGUUUAUUUAUGUUUAA
Molecule: long non-coding RNA, 1502 nt
Organism: Ipomoea triloba (trilobed morning glory)
Lineage: Eukaryota; Viridiplantae; Streptophyta; Magnoliopsida; Solanales; Convolvulaceae
Exons: 2
Source: RefSeq, a predicted model, not a curated record